RNAcentral lists this transfer RNA (66 nucleotides) under Pachybrachis suffrianii. RNAcentral's name for it is "tRNA-Ser". The record is from RNAcentral. Lineage: Eukaryota; Metazoa; Arthropoda; Insecta; Coleoptera; Chrysomelidae.
GAAGUAUGAAAUUCAAGAGGGGGCUUCUAACCUCAAUCUUAAGCAAUGAAAUUUGUUUAUACUUCU